Molecule: long non-coding RNA, 498 nt
Filed under: Ananas comosus (pineapple)
Lineage: Eukaryota; Viridiplantae; Streptophyta; Magnoliopsida; Poales; Bromeliaceae
Description: long non-coding RNA (ACOM_LNC020976)
Source: RNAcentral
AAUUUUCAUAGAAUAUGAUUGUGUAUGUCAACUUAAUAAGUUUUAAUUAAUUAUAAUGAUUAAAUUUGAUAAAAAAAAAUGAGAGAAUCGUUUAAAUUUUUAAAGUUUGAUUUACAUAUUAAAAUUAAAUAAAUUAAAAAUUUUAAAUGUGUCCAUUGAUAAGUUGAAGAAUUAUUGAAAAAUAUAAAAAUAUUAUAUGUAUCCACUUAUUUAUUUAUAGAUAGUAAAUUUAAAUGAUUAAUAAAAUUAUACCAUUAUUUUAUGUAUAAUGAAGAUAAUCUUACCACUCUAUCUAAAAAGGUGAUAAGAUUCACAAAUACAACUAUCAGCUUCAAAUUACCAAAUAGAAGAAAUGCAACUGCAACAGUUAUAUCAACACAAAACCAAACAAACUACAUAUAAUUACAACUGCUGCAUUUUCAACUGCAUGCAUUUUUAACUACACUGCAUUUACAACUACAUCCAACCAAACGGCCCCUUAAUGUUUGAAAAAUAUUA